GAUGAACGCUGACAGAAUGCUUAACACAUGCAAGUCAACUUGAACUUCGGUUUGGGUGGCGGACGGGUGAGUAACGCGUAAAGAACUUGCCUCACAGAUAGGGACAACAUUUGGAAACGAAUGCUAAUACCUGAUAUUAUGAUUUAGGGCAUCCUAGGAUUAUGAAAGCUAUAUGCGCUGUGAGAGAGCUUUGCGUCCCAUUAGCUAGUUGGAGAGGUAACGGCUCACCAAGGCGAUGAUGGGUAGCCGGCCUGAGAGGGUGAUCGGCCACAAGGGGACUGAGACACGGCCCUUACGCCUACGGGAGGCAGCAGUGGGGAAUAUUGGACAAUGGACCAAGAGUCUGAUCCAGCAAUUCUGUGUGCACGAUGAAGUUUUUCGGAAUGUAAAGUGCUUUCAGUUGGGAAGAAAAAAAUGACGGUACCAACAGAAGAAGUGACGGCUAAAUACGUG
RNAcentral lists this ribosomal RNA (453 nucleotides) under uncultured bacterium. RNAcentral's name for it is "partial 16S ribosomal RNA". It matches the Rfam family "Bacterial small subunit ribosomal RNA", at positions 28 to 507 of the family's 1533-position model. The record is from RNAcentral.